Molecule: ribosomal RNA, 471 nt
Filed under: uncultured bacterium
Lineage: Bacteria
Description: partial 16S ribosomal RNA
Rfam family: Bacterial small subunit ribosomal RNA
Source: RNAcentral
ACGAACGCUGGCGGCGUGCUUAACACAUGCAAGUCGCACGCUGAAGCUUGGUGCUUGCCCUGGGUGGAUGAGUGGCGACCGGGUGAGUAAUACGUGAGUAACCUGCCCUUGACUCUGGGAUAAGCCUGGGAAACUGGGUCUAAUACUGGAUAUGACAUGCCACUGCAUGGUGGUGUGUGGAAAGGGUUUUACUGGUUUUGGAUGGGCUCACGGCCUAUCAGCUUGUUGGUGGGGUAAUGGCCUACCAAGGCGACGACGGGUAGCCGGCCUGAGAGGGUGACCGGCCACACUGGGACUGAGACACGGCCCAGACUCCUACGGGAGGCAGCAGUGGGGAAUAUUGCACAAUGGGCGGAAGCCUGAUGCAGCGACGCCGCGUGAGGGAUGACGGCCUUCGGGUUGUAAACCUCUUUCAGCACGGAAGAAGCGAGAGUGACGGUACGUGCAGAAGAAGCGCCGGCUAACUACGUG